ACGCGAUGAACCUUACCAGGUCUUGACAUCCUUCGCUACUUCUAGAGAUAGAAGGUUCCCCUUCGGGGGACGAAGUGACAGGUGGUGCAUGGUUGUCGUCAGCUCGUGUCGUGAGAUGUUGGGUUAAGUCCCGCAACGAGCGCAACCCUUGAUCUUAGUUGCCAGCAUUCAGUUGGGCACUCUAAGGUGACUGCCGGUGACAAACCGGAGGAAGGUGGGGAUGACGUCAAAUCAUCAUGCCCCUUAUGACCUGGGCUACACACGUGCUACAAUGGAUGGUACAAAGGGCUGCAAGACUGCGAAGUCAAGCCAAUCCCAUAAAACCAUUCUCAGUUCGGAUUGCAGGCUGCAACUCGCCUGCAUGAAGCCGGAAUCGCUAGUAAUCGCGGAUCAGCAUGCCGCGGUGAAUACGUUCCCGGGCCUUGUACUCACCGCCCGU
RNAcentral lists this ribosomal RNA (439 nucleotides) under uncultured bacterium. RNAcentral describes it as "bacterial SSU rRNA". It matches the Rfam family "Bacterial small subunit ribosomal RNA", at positions 959 to 1397 of the family's 1533-position model. The record is from RNAcentral.